AAAAGGCACGGCUGAUUUCCACUUAAGGAUGUCAAAGAGGUGAGCACUCAGGGGUGAUGCCUUAGGCUCUGGGUUGAACUAAAAGCUGGGUAUGUAGAACCAGGAAUGUUUCAGGUUUGUAAUGGGAAGUAGAGAGUGGUUAGGAGGAGGGAGAGGCUGGGGAAUGGGAAUAAGUGGGGAAAAACAAUGUAUUCUGUCUCCUGAGAACUUCUAAAGAAUCUCAGAGUUGCUGAAGGCCUGCAGUGUCCAAAUGUGACUUGACCACCUUUUCUGGGGGGCCAUGGCAGGAAGCAGUAUCGGCAGUCGCUAAUUCUCAGCUCCAGAGAGUUAAGAGGGCCUUUCCCUGGAGACCCUGGGAUGGUGGAGAAGACGGGGCCCAGGUGGCUUAGUGGCUCAGACAUCUCAGAGUGGGCUCUUAGAGACCCUCUAAUCCUAAUGCAUCUUUUAAAAGAUAAGAAAACCAAAUCCUUGGAGUCAGAAGUGAGUUUCCGGUUAGAGUAUAAUCUUCAAAAAGGUAAAAGUAUGCCUCAUACAAAUAGUGAACAUGUUUCAAAGAUUUUAUUGAACUCAUUAGUUAGCGGGGAAACAAUAAGAUUGAGAACCACCCCGAAGAACAUUUGAGAAGCUAGGUCUAUACAAGCAAUUUAAUAGCUUGGUGUGUAAUAAGCUAUAUAAAGACUGGUUUACAUUUAAUAGGAUCAUAAACUGUACACUUUGGGGCUAUUAGUUCCACUGGGCAGAGAUUAUUUAUAUGUCUACUGAACUAAAUUUAUAAGUGAGGCUUUCCUUUACAGUGAAGUAAAAUAAUCCAGUAAAUAGAAAGUUAGGUUCAGCACUGAAAGAUUACCCAAUAAUCUCUUUGGCCUGUAUGUAAAUUUCAGAUGAUUUUUUAAAAAUUGUUCAUGGUUUCACUGAUAACCGAUAGCAGAUAUAUAAUGAUAAAGUCUCAUUAUGCUCAACCCAAUAUUUUUGUCCUUGCAACACAAUCCAGAAAGACCAAGAUGUCCAAGAGUUAAAUUUAGGGAAGAGGUGGAUCUCCUACUCCCUGUUAGCCCAGCUCACCUACCCUUCCUAAAGUGCUGCUUAUGGAAACACUGACCCCAUGAGGAAGCCCAAACUUCCCACAUUCUCCAAACCCAAGGCAAGGUCUCCAUACUUUCCUUCUUCCUUCCAGCAUCCCACAGGAUCCCUUGGCCACCCUACUGUUACAGAUAGUUAGGCAUGAGAGGGGCAUGAGAGGGCUCUUCCCCCACCCACUAGAAAUGUCGGGUGACAGUUUGGCAAUUAUCGCAUUGCCUCUCUAAAAGUGAUAAAUUGACAGCCAGUGCCAGGGAGAGGCCAUCUCCUGAGGAUCCGCGCCUGUUAACAUCAAAAUGUUAAUUGAAUGCAGGCCCCAAGGAGAAGCCCCUUGGGCACGCAUGUUAAGAGAUGAAAUGGUGAAGUAUGACAUUCUGGGGGCACAUGCCACUGGAAAAAGGGAAAAAAGCCUCAUAAACUCAUAAACUCUCUAAACGCACUGUGCAUGCUCAAUUCCCAAGGGUAACGAGGGCACCAUGCAUGCAGAAAGCACACCCUAAGAGAAGAAUCAUGGGGAAGAGGCGAGCUUAUCAAAUCCUAGAACCUUGGUUAAAGGCGGCUUCCUUUUUUUCUCUCUUUAACCUUUAGGCACCCACUUGGAUCUCUUCCAAGGGUUCUUUCCUUCCUUUACCCUUCUAAAGUCUUUUUAAUAAACUUCCAUUCCUGAUCUGG
This 1749-nucleotide long non-coding RNA is filed under the name Homo sapiens (human). RNAcentral's name for it is "non-protein coding lnc-RTP4-3:1". The record is from RNAcentral. Lineage: Eukaryota; Metazoa; Chordata; Mammalia; Primates; Hominidae.